Molecule: ribosomal RNA, 620 nt
Filed under: uncultured bacterium
Lineage: Bacteria
Description: bacterial SSU rRNA
Rfam family: Bacterial small subunit ribosomal RNA
Source: RNAcentral
CCUACGGGAGGCAGCAGUGGGGAAUUUUGGACAAUGGGCGAAAGCCUGAUCCAGCAAUGCCGCGUGAGUGAAGAAGGCCUUCGGGUUGUAAAGCUCUUUUGUCAGGGAAGAAACGGUGAGAGCUAAUAUCUCUUGCUAAUGACGGUACCUGAAGAAUAAGCACCGGCUAACUACGUGCCAGCAGCCGCGGUAAUACGUAGGGUGCAAGCGUUAAUCGGAAUUACUGGGCGUAAAGCGUGCGCAGGCGGUUUUGUAAGUCUGAUGUGAAAUCCCCGGGCUCAACCUGGGAAUUGCAUUGGAGACUGCAAGGCUAGAAUCUGGCAGAGGGGGGUAGAAUUCCACGUGUAGCAGUGAAAUGCGUAGAUAUGUGGAGGAACACCGAUGGCGAAGGCAGCCCCCUGGGUCAAGAUUGACGCUCAUGCACGAAAGCGUGGGGAGCAAACAGGAUUAGAUACCCUGGUAGUCCACGCCCUAAACGAUGUCUACUAGUUGUCGGGUCUUAAUUGACUUGGUAACGCAGCUAACGCGUGAAGUAGACCGCCUGGGGAGUACGGUCGCAAGAUUAAAACUCAAAAGGAAUUGACCGGNGAGAGAGAGCGAGACGACGACGAGGGAGGAGG